This 748-nucleotide long non-coding RNA is filed under the name Gallus gallus (chicken). The record is from RNAcentral. Lineage: Eukaryota; Metazoa; Chordata; Aves; Galliformes; Phasianidae.
UGCCGAUCCUUCCCUCUCCUUUCUCCCCACAGAGCUUCUCCUCUGCUUCCUACGGGGCUGCCCGCAGCUUUGGGGACUCCUUGCAUUCGCUGCAGACCUCUCCUUUCCCAGCAGUAAAUACUCAGCUGACAUUUGAAGGGAAGAAAAUGCUUCCUGGCGCUUUCUGGCUUUCCAUCUCCAGCGAUGACUCCCACAUUGGUUGGGAUCGGCGCAGCAGCGGCUCUGGGAUCUGCAGAGCAGAACUCCUCUGACUGGGACUGUGGUGUGGGGAGCGCUGCUGGUCUGACCUACGGCACAGAGCUUCGGCCAUCCGUCCGUCUGUCCGUCCAUCCGUCCGUCCCGUUAUUUUCUUUCCCUUUUUUACCUCGUCGGAGCGGCUCCGCUCAAACCCCGACCUCCGGCCGCGCAACGGAUCUCUGCUCCUUUGCAUCACAAAGCACUGCCGGGAUGGGGCGGGGGGGGGAGGGGGAGAUAUGAGGGGUGAAACGGAGCUCACAGUGACCCCAUUGCCGAGCAAAAGGAGGAGGUGAGGAGCCCCAUUGCGACCCCCCCACACCCCUCUGGCAAAAUGCAGACUGGAAGCUGCACGCAGAGCACUCAGUGCUCCCAACGGGACGGAUCCGAUUCACCCCAAUCCCCCCCCCCCCAAAAAAAAGGGCUGCUGUGAAUCCAAACGGUGCUUUUUUCCCAUCCGUCGGCUGCAAAAAUUCAAGGAAAAAUAAACAGUUGGUGCAUUUUUGCAACCGAA